ACCGCCUGGGGAGUACGGCCGCAAGGUUAAAACUCAAAUGAAUUGACGGGGGCCCGCACAAGCGGUGGAGCAUGUGGUUUAAUUCGAUGCAACGCGAAGAACCUUACCUGGUCUUGACAUCCAGAGAAUCCUGCAGAGAUGCGGGAGUGCCUUCGGGAACUCUGAGACAGGUGCUGCAUGGCUGUCGUCAGCUCGUGUUGUGAAAUGUUGGGUUAAGUCCCGCAACGAGCGCAACCCUUAUCCUUUGUUGCCAGCACAUAAUGGUGGGAACUCAAAGGAGACUGCCGGUGAUAAACCGGAGGAAGGUGGGGAUGACGUCAAGUCAUCAUGGCCCUUACGACCAGGGCUACACACGUGCUACAAUGGCGCAUACAAAGAGAAGCGAACUCGCGAGAGCAAGCGGACCUCAUAAAGUGCGUCGUAGUCCGGAUUGGAGUCUGCAACUCGACUCCAUGAAGUCGGAAUCGCUAGUAAUCGUGGAUCAGAAUGCCACGGUGAAUACGUUCCCGGGCCUUGUACACACCGCCCGUCACACCAUGGGAGUGGGUUGCAAAAGAAGUAGGUAGCUUAACCUUCGGGAGGGCGCUUACCACUUUGUGAUUCAUGACUGGGGUGAAGUCGUAC
RNAcentral lists this ribosomal RNA (624 nucleotides) under Cronobacter sp. EKM102R. RNAcentral describes it as "bacterial SSU rRNA". It matches the Rfam family "Bacterial small subunit ribosomal RNA", at positions 868 to 1491 of the family's 1533-position model. Lineage: Bacteria; Pseudomonadati; Pseudomonadota; Gammaproteobacteria; Enterobacterales; Enterobacteriaceae. The record is from RNAcentral.